AGAGAGCUCAGCACAGCUCCAGUCUUCUCCUCACAGAGAACUAACAGAAGACACACAGCCAUGGCUCAUAAUAACUGGCUCUGUGAAAAGCUGAGAAAGCCAACAAAAGAGAAGAUUGGUGGCAAAUGUGCACCAAGACAACACUGAGAAAUCUCUACUUGGCCUGAUGCAUCCAGGAGAAAGCCAACAUCCUGGAGAUAUUCAUUUCCUGAGACAACAGCAGUCUCACCUGGACUCUCCCUGCUCUACUGCAGCUAAUGAAGGCUACACCAGGUGUGUGGAGGAGGCCGUCAACUUCCUGUCUCAGUGUCAAAUGCAGACCGAGUCCCAGAGAAGGCUGCUGAAACACCUCCUCAGCAUGCAGCCUUCCUUGGAGAAAAGCAAAAGUGUCCUGCCUCAGCUCAGCUCUCCAGCCUGUCAGAUCAGCAGCAAAGAGGAGACUCCAGCAUGCAGUGCACUCUGGAGGCCCUGGGAGAGUCAUGUGGAAACUUUUCAUAAUAGGAUACAGAGUUGAAGAUGUCAGUUUAAGACUGACUAAGUUUUCCUAAGUUUAUAAGAUAUUAUUCAUUUUUUUGCAAUUAUGAUGAAUUACUUUAAUUGUGUAAACGCAUGUGUAUGUAUUUCAAUUUGGGAACUUUCUAAAAAAAUAUUAAUAAUUUUUAUUAUGGAUAAUACUUUACUGCAUAUACCAUGUAUGUUCCAGACUUGGAUAUAUAAUGAAAGCCCAUAUUGGGUACAUGCUUGCUGCAUUUGCAGGAUGUGUGGAUUCUGCUUUCAAUCAAAGAGAGCUUUUACUAUUUUUUAAAUAUUUCUUAUUGUGAAUGAAAAUGACUCUUUACAAUAUUAUGUAAAGCCUGCUUAUCUUUAUUAUUUUUCACAAUGAAACUUGAAUGCAAAAUAUUUAUGAAUUUUAUGCAACUCGUCCUCUUCAAAUGGGGUGAGAUUACCAAUGUAACUAUUUAGUUUAUUGAAAUUAUUUGGAUUCUAUGUAGUCUUGAAAUGUGUGUUUGCAAAGUGCAUGUUUGUGCAUAAAUUAGACAUAAUUAAUUUUCCAUUUGAAAUUAUGACAAGUUUCCUUAAUUGUACAAAAGCAUGUGUGAAUAUUUUCAUUUGGGAUCUUAUAUAAAAUAUACAAAAUUUGUAUUACUGAUAAUCGAUGACUGCAUAUAUCAUGUAUUUCAAAACUUGGAUGUAUAAUGAAACCCAUAUUGGGUAUAUGUUUGCAUUUUGCAAAGUGCAUGUUUCUCCAGAAAGUUAUUUAGUUGACAUUUUCUGUGAAAGCUAUAUAGGACUCUAGCCUCUGUUUAUCUGUGAGUGUGCAGGAACAUUUCCAGAAAUGUUCUAAAAAUAAAUCGUUUCAGUGUGCACUCUA
Non-coding RNA from Electrophorus electricus (electric eel), 1372 nucleotides. The record is from RefSeq and is a predicted model, not a curated record. NCBI's taxonomy places the organism in Eukaryota, Metazoa, Chordata, Actinopteri, Gymnotiformes, Gymnotidae.